RNAcentral lists this ribosomal RNA (253 nucleotides) under uncultured bacterium. Its description in RNAcentral is "partial 16S ribosomal RNA". It matches the Rfam family "Bacterial small subunit ribosomal RNA", at positions 524 to 776 of the family's 1533-position model. The record is from RNAcentral.
UACGGAGGGUGCGAGCGUUGUCCGGAAUCAUUGGGCGUAAAGGGCGCGUAGGCGGCUUGACAAGUCACUUGUGAAAUCUCCGGGCUUAACUCGGAACGGCCAAGUGAAACUGUCAUGCUAGAGUGCAGAAGGGGCAAUCGGAAUUCUUGGUGUAGCGGUGAAAUGCGUAGAUAUCAAGAGGAACACCUGAGGUGAAGACGGGUUGCUGGGCUGACACUGACGCUGAGGCGCGAAAGCCAGGGGAGCAAACGGG